GUUUAUAUAGUUUAAAAAAAAACUUUGGUCUUGUAAAUCAAAAUUAAGAAUAUUUACUUUAUAAACU
Molecule: transfer RNA, 67 nt
Filed under: Gynaephora aureata
Lineage: Eukaryota; Metazoa; Arthropoda; Insecta; Lepidoptera; Erebidae
Description: tRNA-Thr
Source: RNAcentral